GGGGCCAUGGUUGAAUGGGACAACACAUCCCUCGCACGGAUGAGGUCCGGGUUCGACUCCCGGUGGCUCCACCA
RNAcentral lists this transfer RNA (74 nucleotides) under Candidatus Omnitrophota bacterium. Its description in RNAcentral is "Candidatus Omnitrophica bacterium tRNA-Ala". It matches the Rfam family "tRNA". Rfam says of the family: Transfer RNA (tRNA) molecules are approximately 80 nucleotides in length. Their secondary structure includes four short double-helical elements and three loops (D, anti-codon, and T loops). The record is from RNAcentral. Lineage: Bacteria; Pseudomonadati; Candidatus Omnitrophota.